This 468-nucleotide ribosomal RNA is filed under the name uncultured bacterium. RNAcentral describes it as "partial 16S ribosomal RNA". It matches the Rfam family "Bacterial small subunit ribosomal RNA", at positions 28 to 507 of the family's 1533-position model. The record is from RNAcentral.
GACGAACGCUGGCGGCGUGCUUAACACAUGCCAGUCGAACGGAAAGGCCCUGCUUUUGUGGGGUGCUCGAGUGGCGAACGGGCGAGUAACACGUGAGUAACCUGCCCUUGACUUUGGGAUAACUUCAGGAAACUGGGGCUAAUACCGGAUAGGAGCUCCUGCUGCAUGGUGGGGGUUGGAAAGUUUCGGCGGUUGGGGAUGGACUCGCGGCUUAUCAGCUUGUUGGUGGGGUAGUGGCUUACCAAGGCUUUGACGGGUAGCCGGCCUGAGAGGGUGACCGGCCACAUUGGGACUGAGAUACGGCCCAGACUCCUACGGGAGGCAGCAGUGGGGAAUAUUGCACAAUGGGCGGAAGCCUGAUGCAGCAACGCCGCGUGCGGGAUGACGGCCUUCGGGUUGUAAACCGCUUUCGCCUGUGACGAAGCGUGAGUGACGGUAAUGGGUAAAGAAGCACCGGCUAACUACGCG